GAUUAACGCUAGCGGCAGGCCUAAUACUUGCAAGUCGAGGGGCAGCGGGAGUAGCAAUACUUGCCGGCGACCGGCGCACGGGUGCGUAACGCGUAUGCAACCUACCUGUAACUGGGGAAUAGCCUUCUGAAAGGAAGAUUAACACCGCAUAACAUCACGAGACGGCAUCGCCUUGUGAUCAAAUCUCCGGAGGUUACAGAUGGGCAUGCGUGACAUUAGCUAGUUGGUGAGGUAACGGCUCACCAAGGCGACGAUGUCUAGGGGGUCUGAGAGGAUGAUCCCCCACACUGGUACUGAGACACGGACCAGACUCCUACGGGAGACAGCAGUAAGGAAUAUUGGACAAUGGGCGCAAGCCUGAUCCAGCCAUGCCGCGUGAAGGAUGACGGCCCUCUGGGUUGUAAACUUCUUUUAUACGGGAAUAAACCCCCUGAUUCUUCAGGGGCUGAAUGUACCGUAAGAAUAAGGAUCGGCUAACUUCGUGCCAGCAGCCGCCGUAA
RNAcentral lists this ribosomal RNA (500 nucleotides) under uncultured bacterium. Its description in RNAcentral is "partial 16S ribosomal RNA". It matches the Rfam family "Bacterial small subunit ribosomal RNA", at positions 28 to 523 of the family's 1533-position model. The record is from RNAcentral.